This is a long non-coding RNA of Cryptomeria japonica (Japanese cedar), 1054 nucleotides long. RefSeq lists it as uncharacterized. The transcript has 3 exons. The record is from RefSeq and is a predicted model, not a curated record. NCBI's taxonomy places the organism in Eukaryota, Viridiplantae, Streptophyta, Pinopsida, Cupressales, Cupressaceae.
AUCUACUGAAAAUAAGCAAAUUGAAGGGAUUCUUUAACACUUCAUUAUUUUCAUAAAGGAAUAUUUUCAAAUGCGGAGUGGAAAACCAGAAUUCCAGGUUGAAGAAGAGCAGGGUGAAGAUGGGGAUUGGGGAAGCACUUCUCCUGAAUCCAAAUAGCCGUUGAGAGAAUGUUCUAGUUAUCUGAAACUAAAAUGUAACAACGUUCGAAAGAAAAAUCGAAAGUUACGAAAAGCUGAAAAAAAGCCGGAAAAAAAGCAUAUCGAACGUUAUUAUGGAGAGCUGGAGAAAGCAUAAAUAGUUCCAUCUCUUUCAUUUAGAGAGAGUGUUCUUCCUCUUUGUUUUGUUCUGUUUCUUUGUUCUCUGGCUCUUUAUAUUUUCUUUCAAUGUCUUUUAAUGAAGUUUUUUUGUUUGUUUUGUUUUCGAUUUUUCAUUUUGUCUGGUAAGGGUUUUGUGCUGUGAUAUGUUUUCUUUUUUUCUUUGUGGUUUUCCUGUUUUACAUAGGAAGAUGUGGAACAGAGGAAGGGAAAAGCAAAAGGAAGAGGCAGAGCAAAAGGAAGGAAUACGUGGCUGGCAGGAAGCAUGAGAAAGCGAGGAAGGUUGGAGGAGUUGUGCUACUUUGUCCUUCCUCCCUCCUCCUCAGCAGUCAAGAGAGGAGGUACAGCGGUCAAGAGAGGAGGUACAGCAGAGGACCUGCCCAUUCUGGGUUGAAUGACAUGCUCUGUGCAACUACAUUAAGGGAUAGGAUGGAUCUAUAUGCCCUGGAGGCAAUGCCAAUUCGACUAGGAAAUUUGAGGUGAUACAUGAUAUUUAAACUGAAGAAGUCAUUGCAAUUGUUAAAAUUGAUGCAAAUGUAAUUUGUAAAUUGAGUGAGUUUACUGGAUAAUGCAUUAUUUUAUAUCUAAAAUUUGAAGAAAAUGUUGCAUUUUUGAACCAGUUGCUGAAAUCAAUAACAUUAAUAAAUGUAAUAUGUAAAUUAAGACAGUCUAUUCAUUAAAUUGAUAUGUAAACUGAUUUAUUAUUUAAUAUCAUUAUUUUUAUUUGGGAGGGGUUGAA